GAUGAACGCUAGCGGCAGGCUUAAUACAUGCAAGUCGAGGGGCAGCAUGACUGUAGCAAUACAGUUGAUGGCGACCGGCAAACGGGUGCGGAACACGUACGCAACCUACCCAAAACUGAUGAAUAGCCCUCCGAAAGGAGGAUUAAUACAUCGUAACAUAGUUGAAUGGCAUCAUUUGAUUAUUAUAGCUCCGGUGGUUUUGGAUGGGCGUGCGCCNGAUUAGGUAGUUGGUAGGGUAACGGCCUACCAAGCCAACGAUCAGUAACUGGUGUGAGAGCACGACCAGUCACACGGGUACUGAGACAC
RNAcentral lists this ribosomal RNA (306 nucleotides) under uncultured bacterium. RNAcentral's name for it is "bacterial SSU rRNA". It matches the Rfam family "Bacterial small subunit ribosomal RNA", at positions 28 to 327 of the family's 1533-position model. The record is from RNAcentral.